UACGGAGGGAGCUAGCGUUUUUCGGAUUUACUGGGCGUAAAGAGCGCGUAGGCGGUCGAUUAAGUUGGAAGUGAAAUCCCGAAGCUUAACUUCGGAACUGCUUCCAAAACUGAUCAACUAGAGAUUGGUAGGGGAUGAUGGAAUUCCUGGUGUAGAGGUGAAAUUCUUAGAUAUCAGGAGGAACACCGGUGGCGAAAGCGAUCAUCUGGGCCAUAUCUGACGCUGAGGCGCGAAAGCGUGGGGAGCAAAC
This 250-nucleotide ribosomal RNA is filed under the name uncultured bacterium. RNAcentral describes it as "partial 16S ribosomal RNA". It matches the Rfam family "Bacterial small subunit ribosomal RNA", at positions 524 to 773 of the family's 1533-position model. The record is from RNAcentral.